Molecule: unclassified non-coding RNA, 335 nt
Filed under: soil metagenome
Description: partial contains 5.8S ribosomal RNA, internal transcribed spacer 2, and large subunit ribosomal RNA
Rfam family: 5.8S ribosomal RNA (bases 1-120)
Source: RNAcentral
GAUGAAGAACGCAGCGAAAUGCGAUAAGUAAUGUGAAUUGCAGAAUUCAGUGAAUCAUCGAAUCUUUGAACGCACAUUGCGCCCGCCAGUAUUCUGGCGGGCAUGCCUGUUCGAGCGUCAUUUCAACCAUCAAGCCCCCGGCUUGUGUUGGGGACCUGCGGCUGCCGCAGGCCCUGAAAACCAGUGGCGGGCUCGCUAGUCACUCCGAGCGUAGUAAUACAUCUCGCUCAGGGCGUGCUGCGGGUUCCGGCCGUUAAAAAGCCUUAUUUACCCAAGGUUGACCUCGGAUCAGGUAGGAAGACCCGCUAAACUUAAGCAUAUCAAUAAGCGGAGGA